UACCAGUCAGGACGACACCCGGACGAGCACACCGUACCCGGCCAGCGACAAGACGGUGUUGG
This 62-nucleotide non-coding RNA is filed under the name Rhodococcus (subgen. Prescottella) equi. The record is from RNAcentral. RNAcentral also lists the same sequence under 1 other name. Lineage: Bacteria; Bacillati; Actinomycetota; Actinomycetes; Mycobacteriales; Nocardiaceae.